This 465-nucleotide ribosomal RNA is filed under the name Vreelandella stevensii. RNAcentral's name for it is "partial 16S ribosomal RNA". It matches the Rfam family "Bacterial small subunit ribosomal RNA", at positions 338 to 795 of the family's 1533-position model. Lineage: Bacteria; Pseudomonadati; Pseudomonadota; Gammaproteobacteria; Oceanospirillales; Halomonadaceae. The record is from RNAcentral.
CCUACGGGCGGCAGCAGUGGGGAAUAUUGGACAAUGGGGGGAACCCUGAUCCAGCCAUGCCGCGGGUGUGAAGAAGGCCCUCGGGUUGUAAAGCACUUUCAGUGAGGAAGAACGCCUGGUGGUUAAUACCCAUCAGGAAAGACAUCACUCACAGAAGAAGCACCGGCUAACUCCGUGCCAGCAGCCGCGGUAAUACGGAGGGUGCGAGCGUUAAUCGGAAUUACUGGGCGUAAAGCGCGCGUAGGUGGCUUGAUAAGCCGGUUGUGAAAGCCCCGGGCUCAACCUGGGAACGGCAUCCGGAACUGUCAAGCUAGAGUGCAGGAGAGGAAGGUAGAAUUCCCGGUGUAGCGGUGAAAUGCGUAGAGAUCGGGAGGAAUACCAGUGGCGAAGGCGGCCUUCUGGACUGACACUGACACUGAGGUGCGAAAGCGUGGGUAGCAAACAGGAUUAGAUACCCCAGUAGUC